AAAGCUUACAAGGUCAGAGACUUAUAUGAUAUUUUUAUUAGUUGGAGAGACAUACUUUCAGAGUCAAGAGGGGCAAGAAUUGGUGAGAAAAUGAAACAGAGUUCUACUAAUAUGUUCUUUAUUUUUUGAGAUUUAAAUCAUCGUUCUCAAGAUUUUUUAGAACCAUCUGCCUGGCUGCAUGAAAAUCCCCUUGUCUCUCAGACACGUGUCAGUGCACAAAUUCAUCUUGGAGCUGAAGAUGUGCCCCGAGCUUGGACCUCUGUUCUCACCAGAGUGAGGAAGGCUGAAGUGAGAAUGAUAGUUCAAGGUCUGAGUGUUCCUGUAAAAGCUCCAAAGCCAGCUUCUCAAGACGUGAUGCUGUAAAGACCUGGCCUGUAGGCUUGGAAAGGACUUUGAACUCAUUGAGGUGUAGAUUCACAGCCCCUAAUGAGCAUUAGCUGUAAUCAAUCAAUCAGUGAUGUAAUCAAGAGGAUGAAUUCA
Nothoprocta perdicaria is the source of this 480-nucleotide long non-coding RNA. RefSeq lists it as uncharacterized. Lineage: Eukaryota; Metazoa; Chordata; Aves; Tinamiformes; Tinamidae. The record is from RefSeq and is a predicted model, not a curated record. The transcript has 2 exons.